This 387-nucleotide unclassified non-coding RNA is filed under the name Hevea brasiliensis (rubber tree). Lineage: Eukaryota; Viridiplantae; Streptophyta; Magnoliopsida; Malpighiales; Euphorbiaceae. The record is from RNAcentral.
AAUCCACUAUCCACAAACCACAGUCCUUACCAUGUCUGCUAGAAGAGUAGUAAGUUGGAUUCUGACCUGCAUAACCAGUAAAAUUAGCGCAGCUUGCCUCGUUUGCUGCAGGAUUUUGGUACUGCAUAUACUUGCAAUCUCAAGCUGGAUCAUACUUCCCCAGUCAACCCUUGCUGCCUCAUUCUUGUGUUCAGCUUUGCUCUCACAUUCAGGACUAGAAGACAUAUAAUCCUAUUCUUUAUAAGCCCUUGAGAGUAGAAUGAUAAAAGGAAAGGCGUGAAUCAGGAGAAUAAUGAAGGGGUCCAAAAAAGGAAAACCUCAAGUUGAGCAAAUCUCAGGAAACAAAGUUGAAGAAACAGGAGCAUGAAAAGGAGAAAGCAUUUUUAC